RNAcentral lists this transfer-messenger RNA (375 nucleotides) under Oscillospiraceae bacterium. It matches the Rfam family "transfer-messenger RNA". From Rfam's summary of the family: Bacterial tmRNA, also known as 10Sa RNA or SsrA, is named for its dual tRNA and mRNA-like properties. Its role is to liberate the mRNA from a stalled ribosome. Lineage: Bacteria; Bacillati; Bacillota; Clostridia; Eubacteriales; Oscillospiraceae. The record is from RNAcentral.
GGGGCUGUCAUGGUUUCGACGGGGGUCUUGAAACGCGAUAAGCGGGCGGAUGCGCCUACCAUCCUUAAAAUGGGCAUCUUUAUAAAUUAAAGAACAACAACUACGAAUUGCAGGCGGCUUAGUGCCGCCCGUCCGAGCCGGGUAAGUCCACGCACCGGCCGGGCGUGACAAAGUGGAGAACGUGUGUGCGCUGAGCUUGGACGCGCGCCAUGAAUAUAAAGCUACCGAGUGCCUGCGGCGUGACGGCUUGCGGGGUAUGAGGGAACGAUUCGGGUAGCCGCUCGCGGCUGCGCCGAGUGAGAUAACCGUCUGCGCCCGGAGAAAAUUGCGCGGAGGGGCUUUCGGACGCGGGUUCGAUUCCCGCCAGCUCCACCA